Molecule: long non-coding RNA, 790 nt
Filed under: Homo sapiens (human)
Lineage: Eukaryota; Metazoa; Chordata; Mammalia; Primates; Hominidae
Description: HSALNT0102272
Source: RNAcentral
AAAAGAAACUGCUACUAUGAUAAUGGACGUUUAAGAGGUUACUUUCUUUCUCUUCCUGGCUUUUCAUGUGGAUUCUGUUCAGAGUGUGCAGUAAACUAUUACCCAAACUAAUAAGUUCUCGACCUACUUUUGAAGAUAUUGACUAAGAAUCAGAUCCAAACCUCUCACAUCUGAAAGGAAAAGUGACAAAUUUCUGAAUAAUAGUACGUGAAUUUAUUCUAUAGCUGCUCUCUGGACCAAAUGAUGCCUAAACCCAAGAGAGAAAUUAAUGCACAGUUCAUCAAGAUUUACACCAGGCAGAUGUCCAGGGACAUGCGGCCGGAAGAACCGGAUUUCAGCCCGGCUGAGUCACCACAGCAGCCGCCUUGUGAUGGAUGUAGCCCGCAGGCGGAUCCAGCCGCCUCGAAACAGGGCCUCAAGGGAUUGGAUAAGGCCUACCCACAUUGCUGAGGGUGGAUCUUGUUACUCAGCCUACUAAUGCAAAUGCUUAUCUCUUCUGGAAACAUCCUCACAGAUACACCCAGAAAUUAUGUUUAACCAGCUAUCUGGGCAUCCCUUGGUCCAGCCAAGUUGACACAUGAAAUUACCGAUCACAAACACUUUGUUGCUUCAUUGCUUAUCAAAUAAAGCAACUCUUCUAUUGUCUAUUAAUGUUAACUUCCAAGAUGGUGAGUCAAGUGCUAGCUAGUCAACUCUGUCACAAGGACUUCAAAAUAGUCUUGUAGACACAUCAGAAGGAAGGCUGCCAAUCAUUUGUGGAGUGCUCCAGAAAAGUGAGGACUCUAAUCAU